GGAGAGAUGGCUGAGUGGUCGAAAGCGGCGGUCUUGAAAACCGUUGUCUCGCUAAAACGGGACCGAGGGUUCGAAUCCCUCUCUCUCCUCCA
RNAcentral lists this transfer RNA (92 nucleotides) under Gammaproteobacteria bacterium. Its description in RNAcentral is "tRNA-Ser". It matches the Rfam family "tRNA". From Rfam's summary of the family: Transfer RNA (tRNA) molecules are approximately 80 nucleotides in length. Their secondary structure includes four short double-helical elements and three loops (D, anti-codon, and T loops). The record is from RNAcentral. Lineage: Bacteria; Pseudomonadati; Pseudomonadota; Gammaproteobacteria.